RNAcentral lists this ribosomal RNA (204 nucleotides) under uncultured bacterium. Its description in RNAcentral is "partial 16S ribosomal RNA". It matches the Rfam family "Bacterial small subunit ribosomal RNA", at positions 524 to 727 of the family's 1533-position model. The record is from RNAcentral.
UACGUAGGGGGCAAGCGUUGUCCGGAUUUAUUGGGCGUAAAGAGCGUGUAGGCGGCCGUACAGGUCAGCUGUGAAAACUCGAGGCUCAACCUCGAGACGUCGGUUGAAACCGUACGGCUAGAGUCCGGAAGAGGAGAGUGGAAUUCCUGGUGUAGCGGUGAAAUGCGUAGAUAUCAGGAGGAACACCGGUGGUGCAGACGGCUC